RNAcentral lists this long non-coding RNA (717 nucleotides) under Nicotiana benthamiana. RNAcentral's name for it is "long non-coding RNA (NBEN_LNC004883)". The record is from RNAcentral. Lineage: Eukaryota; Viridiplantae; Streptophyta; Magnoliopsida; Solanales; Solanaceae.
ACACGAAUACUUAAAAUAUUAUUUUUAGCACAAAAAUCACAUAAAUAUUAUGACAUGUAUAACUCAAUAUCAAGAUUCAAGAGUCUACAUUCAUUUUAGCACAAUUCAAUCAAACACAAUAAAAAAAACAUCAAUUUUUGGGAUUCAUGCCUAAUUGUUUCGCCAUUUCUAGCCUUUUCUUGGUCAAGCAUAUGCAUCUAUGAGCAAUACAAACAGGUGCCAGAGUAGGAGGACAAUGUGCUUCGCAAUCCUUGGGAUUAUCACAUUCAUGUAUCGCCACCACCUUAAAUGAUGGAAUAUCUGCAACUACAUAAAAAAUUUCAAGUAAUUAAAUAUUUCACAUAUAAUUAUUUCUUUUUUCUCUUUGCUCUAAGAUAUUACAGUUAAAAAGAUAAUCUAGUGUACUAAGCUUCCGCUAUGCGCCGAAUUUCGGGAAGGCCGGACCACAAGGGUCUAGUGUACGCAGUUUUACCCUGCACAUUUGCAAGAGGCUGUUUUCAUAGCUCGAAUCUGUGACUUAUUGUUCUAAGAUAUUACAGUGAAAAACAAAAAUUAAAAGAAAUUUCUAAAGGGGAUUGAGAGUUCAAGUAAUGAGAAAAUAAGAAAAAAGAAACAAACCCAUUGUGAUUAUCAACAAAGCAACAAAGAAAGCAGACUUCAUAAGAGCUUUGGCCAUAUUUUAUCUUUACUAUUGCACUUUUUAAAGGAAAAUAAUAG